GAGGAAGGUAGUGUAGUUAAUAGCUGCAUUAUUUGACGUUAGCGACAGAAGAAGCACCGGCUAACUCCGUGCCAGCAGCCGCGGUAAUACGGAGGGUGCGAGCGUUAAUCGGAAUUACUGGGCGUAAAGCGCAUGCAGGUGGUUUGUUAAGUCAGAUGUGAAAGCCCGGGGCUCAACCUCGGAAUAGCAUUUGAAACUGGCAGACUAGAGUACUGUAGAGGGGGUAGAAUUUCAGGUGUAGCGGUGAAAAUGCGUAGAGAUCUGAAGGAAUACCGGUGGCGAAGGCGGCCCCCCUGGACAGAUACUGACACUCAGAUGCGAAAGCGUGGGGAGCAAACAGGAUUAGAUACCCCUGGUAG
Molecule: ribosomal RNA, 359 nt
Filed under: uncultured bacterium
Lineage: Bacteria
Description: bacterial SSU rRNA
Rfam family: Bacterial small subunit ribosomal RNA
Source: RNAcentral